Long non-coding RNA from Hevea brasiliensis (rubber tree), 472 nucleotides. RefSeq lists it as uncharacterized. NCBI's taxonomy places the organism in Eukaryota, Viridiplantae, Streptophyta, Magnoliopsida, Malpighiales, Euphorbiaceae. The transcript is spliced from 2 exons. The record is from RefSeq and is a predicted model, not a curated record.
UCCUUCUCUCCUUAGUGCAGCCAAAACGUGAACCUCUCUCCCUCUCUCAAACUCCAUUAAACCUCACUUCUCAAGCUUAAUUUCUCCCUUGUUUCACCACAAAACCCUAACCUCUCUUCAUUAAAAUUUUACUACACACCUUAAACAACCUUUUGGCAGCCUUGAAAGUGAAGGAAAGUGAAGUUUAGAGGUGGGAAAAAUCUGCCCUAAGUGAGGUACUGGAGAUCCCGAUCGUGAGCCCAGUAGACCACAGACUGGGUGAGUCCAUCUGACAGUUCUGCUCAGUGUCUGUGUCACCUCACUACCUGCAGUGCAUCGGUAGGGCACUAGGUGUCAGUUUGUCAUUUUGAUAUUUUGUAGUAGAUUUGUAUUUUCUCAUAUGUAUUUGAUCUCAUGUAAUAUAUUUUGAUGUAUAUGUAAAUUAUGAAAAUUGUAUUUGUUAAUGGAAAAGUAGAUGUUUACUUGUGAUUUA